This 476-nucleotide long non-coding RNA is filed under the name Homo sapiens (human). RNAcentral describes it as "non-protein coding lnc-ELP3-2:1". Lineage: Eukaryota; Metazoa; Chordata; Mammalia; Primates; Hominidae. The record is from RNAcentral.
AUGGAUUUCUUCAAAGCAUUGCUGAAGAGGUCAGCACCUUGAGGCUUCCAGCUGCAAGGGGGCAAGGACCUCAAUGUGCCCUUCUCCAUUUCCUGGCUCACUCCUGGAGGCAAAUGAUCUGAGCCUGCAUAAAGUGCCUCAGCCUGGGUCUCAGCAGGUCUCAGCCAGUUCAGAGCAAACCACAGGAGGUUCUGGCUCCUGCCACAAACCCCCUGCAGUUCACGCUUGCACCCAGCACCUUCAACAAGAUGGCCUGGCCCUUCAGGGCACCCCCACCACCUGCUGGCAAUGCACCAUAGCAGAAUGGACAGCUGCUCCAACUGCUGGUCCCAGAUGCCACCAAGCAGUGGCUGAUGGAGAACACCAAGGACUGGCCACCAUGGUCUAGGACAGGCCAGUCACAUUCCUUCAGCAUCCUUGCCCACGUCAUAGACACGGAGUUCAUGCAAGACCUGGAUGAGGAACACCUGAAGAAA